This is a non-coding RNA of Triticum aestivum (bread wheat), 135 nucleotides long. Lineage: Eukaryota; Viridiplantae; Streptophyta; Magnoliopsida; Poales; Poaceae. The record is from Rfam.
CAACUACUCCCUCUGUCCCAAAUUUCUUGUCUUAGAUUUGUCUACAUAUGGAUGUAUCUAAUACUAAAAUGUGACUUGAUACAUCCGUAUCUAGACAAAUCUAAGACAAGAAUUUUGGGACGGAGGGAGUACUUU